RNAcentral lists this long non-coding RNA (1683 nucleotides) under Citrus x clementina. RNAcentral's name for it is "Citrus clementina (C. clementina) long non-coding RNA (CCLE_LNC002040)". Lineage: Eukaryota; Viridiplantae; Streptophyta; Magnoliopsida; Sapindales; Rutaceae. The record is from RNAcentral.
CCAAUAAUUAUGUCAUUAUUACAUACUUAAAUCAAAUACAAUACUAAUACCAUGUUAAUGAGAACUAUCAAAUGGUCGAAUUUCUCUUCUUCUUCUUUUUUCGUUAUUUCUGGAUAAAAUAUACCCUCAACUAUUUAUUAUUGAUUGGACAAUUUUGAUUUUUGAGCCAAGCUAUCAUUUAAAUUCUUAGUUAUGACAAAUUAUGAAACCCAUAAGUUAAGUUAAAGCAUGAAUCUUCAUCACGAUGAAUAAAAUCAUUCAUAAUGUGAGGUUAAUUAGUAUAUCACUUUCAUCUUGCUAGUUGCCAUCCCAACACUCAAAUCAUACGGGCAUGCCCAAAUUCUAAGGCUCUAAAUUAAAUAAAGAAUAAAGGAAAUGAAACUGACCCAUGUAAGCAUUCUAUUGCAUGUGAAUCAAUUGUUAACCUUUCAUUUUAAUUGAUUCUUUCCCUUUGCAAGUAGAAAAGAAAAUUCUAGAAAAAGGAAAAUUAAAAUCAUGUGAUUUAAAAAAAAAAAAUCCUAACCCUAGCUUUUAAGCCAAAAUAAAAAAAAAAAAAUCCAAACUCGUGCCAACGGAGCACAUGUGUUGCACAUGCAAGUCAAAAAGGGUCCAGUACUAGAUGGUCAUCGAUAUCGCUUUAAUACUAAGUAACAAAAUUGGUGGAUCGUAUUAAAACAUUGAUUUAUAAGUUGCACACAAAUUAAAAAAAUUGUAAUAAAAUCUUUGGUUGGUUGAAAUGUUACUGGCAAUAAUUGUUCCGUUGAACAUUCCGAUCGCUAAUUCAAGGGUCUAGUUACGUUGCAACUGUGGUAUGGUACUAUAAUUGUUUUCAGCUAUUGAAUCAAGCUAAUACAAUUAUACAACUGUAGAUCCAAUGACUGAUUGUAAUUGUGGUACCAUACCACAGUUACAACAUAAUUUUGCCCCCAAUUCAAUCACUUAUACAUUUGAUUUAAAAAUCAUUAAAUUGUUCAAUGAAAUAAGUAGGAUAAAUAAAUGACAUGGCAAUAAAAUAGGAUCCUCUCUUUUUUUUUACUCUCUUUUAGAUUUCUAUGGCCAAAAGAAACUAUUAUUUAUUUUUAUGAUAACAUUAAAAUUACAUGAUUAAAUAGAGCUUGCAUCUUAAUUGACGUAAUAUCAAUUAACUACUAUAACCUAUUAGAUUAUUAUUGAUUUUUCCAUACAAUCACUGAGUAACACAUCAAAUGUCACGUUAGUUGGAAUAUUUUGUAUUAGCUAACAUUAUUUCAAUUUAUUUUUCACUUUUUUUGGGUCAAUUUACUGUCGUCAGAUUAAUAUAUUAAAGUAGGUACUUUACUUUCAUUCGCAAGCCCUUUCACAUUUGAAACCCCUUUAUAUUAGUAUGGUUGUUGAACAUUUUGAAAGAUUGACAAUUAUGGGACCAAAGAUUUAUCUCGUUCAUUCACACUCAUUCACAAAAUAGUAGUGGGGCUAGAAUUGUACAGAUUUUGAUUUAAAGAUUCAUUAAAUCUCAUUGCGAAAAUUUUAAUUUCUAUUAAUGGAAGUACGUAGGAUAUGUGUAUAAUUAAACAAAAGUUACUGAAACCUUAUAAAAGGUAAAUCAAAUUUAUUUAAUAUUAUGGUACCACAAAUAUUACGAUUUUUUUUUUCAAGAUAUAUGGUAUGUGAUACGGCUUCUAGUAAAUUAGUUGUUGGAUUAAU